Molecule: long non-coding RNA, 401 nt
Filed under: Mus musculus (house mouse)
Lineage: Eukaryota; Metazoa; Chordata; Mammalia; Rodentia; Muridae
Description: predicted gene 7008 (Gm7008)
Source: RNAcentral
GGCUGCUAUGCCUUAGGGCCGCGUGGAGCUUUGGGAGAUGUAGUUAGCGAGAGGGCGCGGCCUUCUCCGGGCUCCUCCCAGUCCGAUUGCGUCGUGACCUCGUCCCAACGAGGCGUCCGCCCUGGAAUUCACCCGGGUAGUCACCGCGAUGAGCCAUGCGGCAGUUAUGCAGCUUGAUGAACGUCAGCUUAUCGAUCACAGAUGGACUGUUCACAAAGAUUCGAUUGGAAGAGCAACGUUCAAGUUGCAGUAUUGUCAAUAAACAGGGAGACUGUGUUUGAAGAGUACUGUGUCCCAUUACUACUGAACAGCAAAUCAAUACCCAUGACCUCGUACUGGAAAAGCGUUUCCAUGGUAACAGCACACAUGGAAAUUAUUCUUUAACAAUUAAAGAAUGUCAU